This 926-nucleotide ribosomal RNA is filed under the name uncultured bacterium. RNAcentral's name for it is "bacterial SSU rRNA". It matches the Rfam family "Bacterial small subunit ribosomal RNA", at positions 1 to 917 of the family's 1533-position model. RNAcentral also lists the same sequence under 1 other name. The record is from RNAcentral.
UGGAUCCAGACUUUGAUUAUGGCUCAGGAUGAACGCUAGCUACAGGCUUAACACAUGCAAGUCGAGGGGAAACGACAUCGAAAGCUUGCUUUUGAUGGGCGUCGACCGGCGCACGGGUGAGUAACGCGUAUCCAACCUGCCCAUCACUUGGGGAUAACCUUGCGAAAGUAAGACUAAUACCCAAUGACAUCCCACGAAGGCAUCUGAAUGGGAUUAAAGAUUUAUCGGUGAUGGAUGGGGAUGCGUCUGAUUAGCUUGUUGGCGGGGUAACGGCCCACCAAGGCAACGAUCAGUAGGGGUUCUGAGAGGAAGGUCCCCCACAUUGGAACUGAGACACGGUCCAAACUCCUACGGGAGGCAGCAGUGAGGAAUAUUGGUCAAUGGGCGAGAGCCUGAACCAGCCAAGUAGCGUGCAGGAUGACGGCCCUAUGGGUUGUAAACUGCUUUUAUAAGGGAAUAAAGUGAGUCUCGUGAGACUUUUUGCAUGUACCUUAUGAAUAAGGACCGGCUAAUUCCGUGCCAGCAGCCGCGGUAAUACGGAAGGUCCGGGCGUUAUCCGGAUUUAUUGGGUUUAAAGGGAGCGUAGGCCGGAGAUUAAGCGUGUUGUGAAAUGUAGUGGCUCAACCUCUGCACUGCAGCGCGAACUGGUCUUCUUGAGUACGCACAACGUGGGCGGAAUUCGUGGUGUAGCGGUGAAAUGCUUAGAUAUCACGAAGAACUCCGAUUGCGAAGGCAGCUCACGGGAGCGCAACUGACGCUGAAGCUCGAAAGUGCGGGUAUCGAACAGGAUUAGAUACCCUGGUAGUCCGCACGGUAAACGAUGGAUGCCCGCUGUUGGCCUGAAUAGGUCAGCGGCCAAGCGAAAGCAUUAAGCAUCCCACCUGGGGAGUACGCCGGCAACGGUGCAACUCAAAUGAAUUGACGGA